CAAAUGACUCUCGGCAAUGGAUAUCUCGGCUCUUGCAUCGAUGAAGAACGUAGUGAAAUGCGAUACUUGGUGUGAAUUGCAGAAUCUCGUGAACCAUUGAGUCUUUGAACGCAAGUUGUGCCCGAGGCCUUCUGGUCGAGGGCACGCCUGCUUGGGCGUCAUGG
Molecule: ribosomal RNA, 164 nt
Filed under: Scaphochlamys kunstleri
Lineage: Eukaryota; Viridiplantae; Streptophyta; Magnoliopsida; Zingiberales; Zingiberaceae
Description: 5.8S ribosomal RNA
Rfam family: 5.8S ribosomal RNA
About the family: 5.8S ribosomal RNA (5.8S rRNA) is a component of the large subunit of the eukaryotic ribosome. It is transcribed by RNA polymerase I as part of the 45S precursor that also contains 18S and 28S rRNA.
Source: RNAcentral